UCUUGCUAUGAUGAUAAGAAAACAUGUGUUUAUUCAAAUUAUAUUGUUAUUGGAUUUUUCUUAACUAAGAAGAUACUCCUCAUCCAAGCAUACACAAUGGAGAAAUCGCUCUAAAUGCAAUCCAACUUCGGCAUGCGAAAGUUUCUACUGGCGAUGUUGUACUGGUGAUCAGAUUUAUUCCACCUGAUGAGUCUAACCUGGCAUUGCUCACUUUAGAGUUAGAGUUUGUGAAAAAGGGUACUAAAAGUGAACAGGUUGAUGCUGUUCUCUCGGCCAAUCAUCUUAGAAAGAGGUUUAUUUACCAGAGUGAAGAAAAUGGCAUGGAGAUGACAAAUUUCUCAGAAUUUGAAGGAGUUUUUUGAAAGACCAACUAGACAAACACCUAACUAAAUUGGAGAGAGUAUAGCUGAUGGCCAACAAGUUGUUUAACUAAAAUAUGGCCAACAACUUUAAUGG
Long non-coding RNA from Cannabis sativa, 456 nucleotides. RefSeq lists it as uncharacterized. The record is from RefSeq and is a predicted model, not a curated record. The transcript has 4 exons. Lineage: Eukaryota; Viridiplantae; Streptophyta; Magnoliopsida; Rosales; Cannabaceae.